CCUACGGGACGCAGCAGUAGGGAAUCUUUCACAAUGGGCGAAAGCCUGAUGGAGCAACGCCGCGUGCAGGAUGAAGGCCUUCGGGUUGUAAACUGCUUUUAUAAGCGAGAAAUAUGAUGGUAACUUAUGAAUAAGGAUCGGCUAACUACGUGCCAGCAGCCGCGGUAAUACGGAGGAUGCGAGCGUUAUCCGGAUUUAUUGGGUUUAAAGGGUGCGUAGGCGGAAUAUCAAGUCAGCGGUAAAAAUUCGGGGCUCAACCCCGUCGUGCCGUUGAAACUGAUGUUCUUGAGUGGGCGAGAAGUAUG
This 305-nucleotide ribosomal RNA is filed under the name uncultured bacterium. RNAcentral's name for it is "bacterial SSU rRNA". It matches the Rfam family "Bacterial small subunit ribosomal RNA", at positions 338 to 661 of the family's 1533-position model. The record is from RNAcentral.